CCGCUGUAGCCCGCAGUGUGGAUCACCAUGGCGAUGACGGCACAACCCAUCGCCAGCUGGCAAAGGCGGGUAGCGCCGAGAGGUGAGAGGAGCGCCCUCGUGUUCAGAAAAAAAUUCAAACUAACUGAAGUGGCAUACCUGUGAACAUUGUCGUUCAUCCAGGUCAAUUCACUCCCAUUGCAAGUGAGUUUGGUGCAGUCCUAACCAAGCCUUGUUGAUGAAGCUUGCUCAGAUGAGAAGCAAAACAUCUCAACUAAGACAACCAGAAGUACAGUUGCAAUUGAUUCAAUGCCCCGAGAAUAGUUUCAUACUUAAAUAUUUCCUUGCCUGCAUUUUCAGUGACUUCUGACUUGAAAUGCAAUUUACACUCAAAUAUGUAGGGCAAUUGUGAAUAUGUCAUCAUAAUGUCAUUUCACAGUCCAAUGGCCAUCUGGGAGAAAGCAUAACAAUGCGAUCCGUGAUGAAAAUGAGUUUGACAUCCCUGCACUAAGAAGUACAGACCUCAUUAAUUCUUCAAGAAUUUCUGCACAAUUCAGGUCUUUCUGGCAUGGAAAUUCAAAAGCUAGGACUCUGAAGUCAUUAGUUUUCUUUUCCCUUACAUACAUACAUCAUAUAAAGAACAAGUUUUUGCUUUUACUGCUGUCAAAUAAUCUCAAGCAAGUAAACUGAAUUUGUUUUGGACAUAAUCAUGUUAUGUGGUGGUAAACCAGGCUAAAUUGGUACACUCAUAUCAUGUGCACAAUCAGAACUCAAAACAAAUGUCAUUUUGUCAGAAGAUGGAAAGUUUCUGAAGGAGUGUUGUCUCCUCAAGCGAUCAAAGAGGACUCUGGUCUGAUUGUUCUCAGCUCUCUGUCUCCACCUGGAGGUGUUUUACAGAUUUGUGAAGCUCAACGUCCAGUAAUCACUGCAUAAUUUUAAAAGCAAGAAAUAUGUAAAAGGCAAUGGUAACACCAUAAGUUAUUUGUGCAAAUUCAACUGCCUCCCUAGAAAGCCUUCUGAUCACCAGGGGUAACAAAGUUUGCAGUGUCGUGCUGCAGUUGUCUGCAUUCUUCAUUUCCUCAGGAAGAUUGAUGUUGCACUUCCAUAAAAAAAGAACUUUAAGAUGUUUCUUGUUAGUCAUUCAAGCUAAAGAUUAUCCACUUAUGCGGGUUCUAUAACGAAGACAUGGCCUUACAUCCCAACAGAAACAAUUGUCUUGUCAGUAAAUUAAAAAUGUAUGCCUAUACUGAUUAACAAUUUGUGAUAGAACACAACAAUGAUGAGCAUGCAAAGCAAAGUCAAUAAAAUGUAGUAGUUUAAAAAAAUUAACACAUAUUGCACUGUUCAAACAGCAUAUUUAAUUCUUAAACUGUGUGGAAUAAAACACAUCCAGCAGUCUUUCUUCACACAUCAACCAGAAUGAAAUCACAUCAGUCUUCUUAACA
Long non-coding RNA from Syngnathus acus (greater pipefish), 1424 nucleotides. RefSeq lists it as uncharacterized. Lineage: Eukaryota; Metazoa; Chordata; Actinopteri; Syngnathiformes; Syngnathidae. The record is from RefSeq and is a predicted model, not a curated record. The transcript is spliced from 2 exons.